RNAcentral lists this ribosomal RNA (512 nucleotides) under Teichococcus cervicalis. RNAcentral's name for it is "bacterial SSU rRNA". It matches the Rfam family "Bacterial small subunit ribosomal RNA", at positions 389 to 917 of the family's 1533-position model. The record is from RNAcentral. Lineage: Bacteria; Pseudomonadati; Pseudomonadota; Alphaproteobacteria; Acetobacterales; Roseomonadaceae.
CAGCAAUGCCGCGUGGGUGAAGAAGGUCUUCGGAUCGUAAAGCCCUUUCGGCGGGGACGAUGAUGACGGUACCCGCAGAAGAAGCCCCGGCUAACUUCGUGCCAGCAGCCGCGGUAAUACGAAGGGGGCUAGCGUUACUCGGAAUUACUGGGCGUAAAGGGCGCGUAGGCGGCGCUCCAAGUUAGGCGUGAAAGCCCUGGGCUCAACCUGGGGACUGCGCUUAAGACUGGAGUGCUAGAGGAUGGAAGAGGGUUGUGGAAUUCCCAGUGUAGAGGUGAAAUUCGUAGAUAUUGGGAAGAACACCGGUGGCGAAGGCGGCAACCUGGUCCAUUUCUGACGCUGAGGCGCGAUAGCGUGGGGAGCAAACAGGAUUAGAUACCCUGGUAGUCCACGCCGUAAACGAUGUGCGCUGAAUGUUGGGGUUCCUAGAACCUCAGUGUUGUAGCUAACGCGGUAAGCGCACCGCCUGGGGAGUACGGCCGCAAGGUUGAAACUCAAANGAAAUUGACGGA